AUUAUACCCCCACAUGUGCUCACCCACAAAAUGGCCGCUCCACCUUUUAUAUCUCUGGGAAUUGCCUCCCAAAGGGGGGAUUUGCCCCUCCCACAGUCUGUCAAUCAACUCUUCUUCACCAUCCAUUGGUGGAAGCUGCUUUCCUGCAACUUGAUUGGAGGUCAGGUGUUGCCAUGCCACGCCCCCUAGCAACAAGCCAUCCCCGUUCCCAGCUGCCCCGUGUAAGGAAGGGCGCAGGUUCGCGCCCUCCAGCCACAUGUCCCGACCAGCAAGGCCAUCCCUUGGCAACCAUACGGGGAAAGGGGACUACGGAGAGAACAGGGGAUGCCUAAACAACAAAUCACAAUAACAUUACUGUACAUCAAUGGAACGUCUCUUAACAUACACAUAAUAUUCAUCCCUUUAUUGUGAGAUCCAACCAUUGUGUCACCCAUCUAUGACACCAGUCAUUGCAAGCCAGCCUGGAAAACAGUAAAAUUUUGCAUGGUGUGGAUGUUCUUCAUGCAGUGACCUGAAAACAAUGAAAACAGGAAGAGAUUGAGCCAGUGGGUCUUUGAGAAGAUCUAUUCAAGCCUAAACUUCAUGGAGGAACUUUUAUUCGCGCUUUCUCUGGGAGAACAUCAGGACUAAAGCACCAGGGCAGAUAUAAGCCCAGUUCCAGGGACACUGAGCACCCAAAGCUCCAGUUAAAUCAGAGGUGGCUGUGGAUACUGGGUGGUCUUUAAAAACAAGUUAUAAGGCGAUGCUGCUGACAUGGAGAGAGAAGCCCUGGAAGCUCCUAGCUCAGAGAACACCCAUUGACUCAUCUGGUAUUUCCAUACAUGAAAGAUUGGAAAACUGCUUUCUAGUCUCAAAUCUUACAAGGUUCCUGGACUACAUUCAGUCUUAUUAUGAAUUCUCUUAGUUUCCAUCUCCCAAAUACACUUACGCAUUUUGAAGUAAAUUAAAACUAACCUCUGUGGUUUUGUGCACUUGUGUGCGUCCAUACAUAGACACACACACUCCUCUGUACUGUACUGUGUUUUGCAGGAGCAAACAAACUCCUUUUGCUACUUAGAGACCAGCCCAAAAGAAUGGAAACAAGAUGAAAAAAGAGAUGAUCUGCCCCCUGGAUGCAGCAAGACAAUGACCUUACUACUAUUCACCUGCCACAAUAUCACCACUGUCAUUUUGAUGAGAUUUUUUUGAUUUUGAAAAUCUGGGAAGAUGUCCCCUUUACCAGAACACUGCCCUGUUUUUGAUGAGAUUUCACAGUCUUGUGAACUUUUGUUGCUUCUGCAAAACCAUACUGAUGAAAAACUUAAGUUAAUGGCGCUUACACCAAUUACUGGAAAAAUACUGCUUCAGCCUGGGUUUCGAGAGCCUUUAUGCUCUCAGUUCUGCCAGCCACCAAAAUGGAAGGUGGAAUAAAUAGGCCAUGUUGUUCACCA
Cyanistes caeruleus (blue tit) is the source of this 1430-nucleotide long non-coding RNA. RefSeq lists it as uncharacterized. The record is from RefSeq and is a predicted model, not a curated record. NCBI's taxonomy places the organism in Eukaryota, Metazoa, Chordata, Aves, Passeriformes, Paridae.